UACCUAACUGACUGAUAAGUUGUAGCUGGGGGGAGAGGCUGUAGCAAAGUGGAAGGGGUAGCUGCUACACAGUGUGUGGAAAGCUUACUCAAAGCAAACUGAUAGGGAUUUGCUAAGGAAUAUGACUGCAAAAAGCUCAGGGACUGAAAAGGAGUUGUGGAUGCUGGAGGACUCCAGGUUGUUAACUUGGCAAAAUGCUGCUAACAGAAAAACGACAGGUGAUUCUGUAAGGUUCUGUCCCACUGCAGAGAGACUGCUCUGAUUGAUCUGGAAGACACUGGCACACCACAAACUAUUUUCUAUAAAGCUAAUCAGAAAGAAACAUUUCCCCGUGAAACCUGAGGACGGGAUGAGGAUGUUUCUCAUCUGAGUAGUCACACUGGUGUUAAUUGCAUGCAGAUUUCCAGGUUUGAUCCCACAGUUCUUCCAGUAUUGAAAUCAUCAUUGGUAUGUGAAGUACAGCAUCCCUUAUGUUGUGUUUUGACCUGAGGUGCAUUUGGCAUGCCUUUUCAAACUCCCUCGACAACAAGAGAGCAAUGGCUCUUCAGAGACAGUGAUUUUAUGGCCAUUAUUAUUUUUCAUGCUGUUUAGUGCUUCUAAGUGUUAAGGUUUAGGAUGACCCUGUGAUCCACCAUUUUUCCUCUCAGUCUGUGAGUUAGUCAGGCAGCUACAAGGCCUCUAUGUACCCAAUGGUCUCUACACAUGAUUUUGCUUUGUUUCUGACGUUUAAAUUAUUUCUCUUGUCUAUAAUCAGUGAUAUUAUUCUACCUAUUCAGAAAUCCAAUGAUAGCUGCAUCUAGAAAAAGAUGAGGAUACUAUCUUUAAAAAAAUAAAAACUUCUAAACUCAUUACGACUAAUGCUAGGAAAUCAUAUCAAUCUGAAAUUCAGAUAAACUUUCUGAGAGAGAAGCAAUAUACCAAAUAAGUACGUGGUCAUGUUUAUACAAAAAGAUAAUAGAAUUUUGGUAUUUUUUGAAGCUUGCAUACAUGAGAUGCCAUGAUUCAGUGUUUGAAAUGGAAAGUUCCAUUAAUAUUUUUAAACUGUCAGUUUUCUCUAACUAUAGUUACAUAUUUUAAUUAUUAACAUGGAAUUCAAAUUAUCUUAAUUAUAGACAGAGAUAUGGAGCCAUAAUUUUGAAAAUUCUGGAGAAAUUAAAAGGGUUUCUUUGGGACAGGGUACCAGCUUUUUACCUUUCUGUAUAUGAGGCCUUUGACAGUAUCCAUAUUCAGGAUAUUGAGGUCAAUGAGAAUUCUUCCUGACUGGAGAUUUUUAGAUCAAACCCAGGAAUAUAAACAUUUAACAUCCACACUGUCUUUCAGCGACUGUGAAAUUCUCCCUUCAUUCAUCCUAACAAUUCAUUUGGCUUUAUGAAAAGUAAAGUAACACCUGAUAAUAUCUAUAGUGCUCUCUAUUAAUACACCAAACUAAACAGUUCCCACACAACACUUUUUCCUAUUGACUUUCAGCUUGGAAAGAUAAGAAUACUCUGAUCUUUCCCUUUAUUCAGCUUUAGAAACUUGGU
This is a long non-coding RNA of Alligator mississippiensis (American alligator), 1523 nucleotides long. RefSeq lists it as uncharacterized. NCBI's taxonomy places the organism in Eukaryota, Metazoa, Chordata, Crocodylia, Alligatoridae. The record is from RefSeq and is a predicted model, not a curated record. The transcript is spliced from 4 exons.